ACUUAAGUAGCUUAUAAAGAGUUUAACAUUGAAGAUGUUACGGAGAUAUUUUAUCCUUAAGUA
This 63-nucleotide transfer RNA is filed under the name Coomaniella copipes. Its description in RNAcentral is "tRNA-Phe". Lineage: Eukaryota; Metazoa; Arthropoda; Insecta; Coleoptera; Buprestidae. The record is from RNAcentral.